UGGAAGUCAGUCUUCCACCAGCAGCCUUCAGAUGAAGAUGUAGAACUCUCAGCUCCUCCUGCACCAUAUCUGCCUGGGUGCUGCCAUGUUUCUGCUUUGAUGACAAUGGACUGAACCUCUGAGCCUAUGUGAAUUAUGGCUGCUUUGACUGAGAACCCUGAUUAUGGCAAGCACAACCAAAAGACUUCAAGGUGAAGCUUCUUCCUGCCCUGCUGAGUGUGUCAGCCCAGGGCUCCAAGUAUUGGAAAACACGAAUGAAGAGCAAGCAGCUCCCGUCCUUGAGGGCUCUGCCUACUGACAGAACCAGGUGAUGUGACACAAUGGUGGUACAACAAUUAGAGACACUUAACAGUUAAGUAUAAGGAUGUUUUGCCUGCAUGGAUGAGUAUAUGUCAUAUGCCCGGUGCUCAUGGGGGCCAGAAGAGGGCGCUGGAUCCCCUGGAAUGGAAGUUGUGAGCUGCCCCGUGGAUAUCGGAAAUCAAACCUGGGUCCUCUGGGAGAGCAGCAAGCACUUUUAACUUCAGAACCAUCCCUCCAGCCCCUAGAGACCCUUCUGGAAAGACCUCUACUUCCAUGUUACAGGGGAAUAAUCAAUAGAGGGCAGGAGACAGGUAAGCCUGAAGGAAUCUGUUGCCUUGAAGACUGGACACCCCUCCACUGCUAACCGCAGUCCUCAUCGGUGCUGUUGAUACAUCUAUACCCCAAGAGUCUAGAUUCAUUUUCUGUUUUAGCCAGUUCAGGUUUCACUGACACCUCAACAAGUGGAUUUGGACUCUACGAACAUUGUAUCUAGGUUUGAUAGUCCAGACUAGGAAAUGUUCCUCAUGAAUUCCUGCUUUGGAAGGUUGAAGAACCGGCAGGAGGCGGAGCCUAACCACAGGAAGUGGGUCUCUGGGCGCAGGCGUUUGGGGUCCUUCUGAAGCCCAGCCCCUCUUCUUGUCUACUUUCUGCCUCCUGUUCCUCAAGAUGUGAAGCAGUGAAGAUAUCCAACAGCAUGUCCUGCAGUGUCUUCCCUACUGCCAUGGACGGUGUCCACAAACUGUAGCCAAAAUCAGCAGUCCCCUCCUGAGUUUACUUUUGUAGAGAUUGUGUCACAGUAACAUACCAAAUAACGAUCAAGUCAUCAUAACUGGAAUAUUGGGUCGAAUAAUGAACUCAAAUAUGUAGACAGUCUCAUACGGAGAGAAAAAAUCUUCACCUAUGUCAUUUAAAUGUUCAGAUAUUUAAUGAUUUUAAAAUGUAAAACUCAUUACAGUUUAUCUGAGAGAUCCUCACCACCAUCGCAGUCUUUAUAAAUCCAAGGCAAAGAGAGAGACAGACGGUGCAGCAGGCCAUUUGUAGACAGACCGGUGACUGGACAGACGGUGGACUGGACAGACCUAAGGAAGGGCCGGGUGGGGACAUCAGAGGCAGGCUGGAUCUUGGUCAAGAGCAGCUCCUCUGGACUCCUGGCCACUGGCCUCUCUGGUCUGUCCAUUCUGAGGUCCUGUAAGCUCAUGUGACCUCAGCUGUGGGAUGAAGAGUGGAACUGAGAAACUGGUUUCACUUGGGUCAGAUGUGGAAACUAAACACGAGGGACUUGUUUCCAGAUCGCUCCCUGGGGGAAGCUUCACUCCUUGGGGGGCUGGGGGGGGGACCAGUCUACAGAUGAAGAGUCAUAAAAGGAGUUCAGAUCCUGUUGCUCAUGACAGACCACUGAAAGACUGCACAUCAGUGGUGAGGCCCUCUCCGCUCCCUUCCAAAUGUGGCCUGAAGUCUAUAUUAAAAUAAGGGUCCGCUUUCUUUUCUUUCUUUCUUUCUUUCUUUCUUUCUUUCUUUCUUUCUUUCUUUCUUUCUUUCUUUCUUUCUUUCUUUCUUCCUUCCUUCCUUCCUUCCUUCCUUCCUUCCUUCCUUCCUUUCUUUCUUUCUUUCUUUUUUUUGGAGCUAGCCAUGGAUACAUAGACUGAGGUGUGUAAUGCACAAAUACUUUGAGAGUUAUUUAUGGAAAAUAUCUAAGUUAUAAAAUCCAAAUAAGUGCAAAA
Long non-coding RNA from Apodemus sylvaticus (European woodmouse), 2021 nucleotides. RefSeq lists it as uncharacterized. The transcript has 4 exons. NCBI's taxonomy places the organism in Eukaryota, Metazoa, Chordata, Mammalia, Rodentia, Muridae. The record is from RefSeq and is a predicted model, not a curated record.